This 90-nucleotide non-coding RNA is filed under the name human gut metagenome. Its description in RNAcentral is "SAM riboswitch (S box leader)". It matches the Rfam family "SAM riboswitch aptamer (S box leader)". From Rfam's summary of the family: The SAM riboswitch is found upstream of a number of genes which code for proteins involved in methionine or cysteine biosynthesis in Gram-positive bacteria. The SAM riboswitch acts at the level of transcription termination control. The predicted structure consists of a complex stem-loop region followed by a single stem loop terminator region. RNAcentral also lists the same sequence under 1 other name. The record is from RNAcentral.
CUUAUCAAGAGUGGCGGAGGGAACGGCCCUGUGAAGCCCGGCAACCUGCUGAAAGCAAGGUGCCAAAUCCGGCGGUAGACGCAAGAUGAG